CCUACGGGAGGCAGCAGUGGGGAAUAUUGGACAAUGGGGGGAACCCUGAUCCAGCCAUGCCGCGUGUGUGAAGAAGGCCCUCGGGUUGUAAAGCACUUUCAGUGAGGAAGAACGCCUGGUGGUUAAUACCCAUCAGGAAAGACAUCACUCACAGAAGAAGCACCGGCUAACUCCGUGCCAGCAGCCGCGGUAAUACGGAGGGUGCGAGCGUUAAUCGGAAUUACUGGGCGUAAAGCGCGCGUAGGUGGCUUGAUAAGCCGGUUGUGAAAGCCCCGGGCUCAACCUGGGAACGGCAUCCGGAACUGUCAAGCUAGAGUGCAGGAGAGGAAGGUAGAAUUCCCGGUGUAGCGGUGAAAUGCGUAGAGAUCGGGAGGAAUACCAGUGGCGAAGGCGGCCUUCUGGACUGACACUGACACUGAGGUGCGAAAGCGUGGGUAGCAAACAGGAUUAGAUACCCGGGUAGCC
RNAcentral lists this ribosomal RNA (465 nucleotides) under Vreelandella stevensii. Its description in RNAcentral is "partial 16S ribosomal RNA". It matches the Rfam family "Bacterial small subunit ribosomal RNA", at positions 338 to 795 of the family's 1533-position model. Lineage: Bacteria; Pseudomonadati; Pseudomonadota; Gammaproteobacteria; Oceanospirillales; Halomonadaceae. The record is from RNAcentral.